This 244-nucleotide long non-coding RNA is filed under the name Carica papaya (papaya). Its description in RNAcentral is "long non-coding RNA (CPAP_LNC010764)". Lineage: Eukaryota; Viridiplantae; Streptophyta; Magnoliopsida; Brassicales; Caricaceae. The record is from RNAcentral.
CGACCGUGAUUAUUAGUCUUCAACUGUGAUUGUAAGGGCCACAGUGGUGAACUAGGACUGUGGUCAUUAAUUUUCAACUAUUAUACUAUAUACCAAACUGAACUAUGUUCCAUUCAUAGUGGUAGUCAAGGAUCCCUUCUACCCUCUAUUGAUAUAAGUUACAAUCAAACUGUAUGAUUGUCUAGCUAUGAUUCCUUGAUUUGAAUAUGUUUCUCACUAUUCUGUUAUGUCAUGUCAUGCUAUU